RNAcentral lists this unclassified non-coding RNA (2051 nucleotides) under Hevea brasiliensis (rubber tree). Lineage: Eukaryota; Viridiplantae; Streptophyta; Magnoliopsida; Malpighiales; Euphorbiaceae. The record is from RNAcentral.
AAAACAUAUAGGCUGGCCAGUAGCUUGAUUUGACGGAGAAUCAGGAGAGAAUUCUUCACUCUCCGCCUCCUCAUCCUCAUGCCACCGUAUGCAGCCUCUUUAGCUUAGCAGUUAGACCCUUUCAGCCUUCACCUCCCAUCUCUGUUACACUUGUUUUCUCUAUGUGCUUAGACCCAUCAACCUUGCUGGCAAUCAGCCAUCUCUCACUUUAAUCAGUUUCUAUUUAAACCUCCCCUCUCUUCUUUUCCUCCUUCUUCUUCUGCUUCUUCUUUUCUUCUUCUUCUUCACGAUUCCUUUAAAACCCUCUCUGUUAUUGUUAGUCAUUCUGUUUCAGUCUUUUUUCUCUUCAUUUCCAUAUAUUUGCGUUUCUAUCGGUUUCGGCUCCUUAACAUGAAUUUCUCUUCUACAAGGAAAAAUUUACCCAUUAAAAUCCCCCUUAGCCAACCCAUUUUAUGUUCUACUUGAUUUUUCCCCCUUCCUGUUUAAUGAUUUUUUCUGUGUCUACAAUCAUGAAAAUUCUUUUUAACCCAUUCUUUCUCUUGUUCGUAAUUGUUGGUUUAUUGUUUCUGCUUCGGUUUCUUUUAAUCAGGACUGGAUUAAUUUAUAUGACCAAGAAAUGGUGGAGAUCAAUCCAAGAUUGUUUUCAUGUGUAUCAAUUCUUCAAGGUUCCAGAAUUCAACGAGAGCAUGCAAGAGAAUCAGCUUUAUUCCAAAGUCUCUGUUUAUCUAAACUCUCUGGCUUCCAUGGAGGACUCCAAUUAUACCAACCUCUUCACCGGAAAAAAAUCCAAUGAUAUCAUACUCCGCCUCGACCCUAGUCAGGUAAUCGAUGAUGAUUUCCUUGGAGCUAGAGUUUCUUGGAUAAACGAAGUGAAAACAGAUACAACCCAUUCUAGAGCUUUCGUUUUGAAGAUCAGAAAAGCCGAUAAGCGAAGAAUUCUCCGGCCUUAUCUCCAGCAGAUCCACACAGUUUUCGACGAGCUCGAGCAGAAGAAGAAGAGAGAAUUGAAGCUUUACAUGAAUAUCAACAGUGAUCAAAAUCAGAACAGACGGUGGAGAUUUGUUCUCUUUACUCAUCCUUCAACGUUUGAAACAAUUGCCAUGGAAUCCGAUCUCAAAAACAAGUUAAAGUCAGAUCUGGAGUCUUUCCUCAAGGCCAAACAAUACUAUCACAGGUUGGGUCGCGCGUGGAAGCGAAGCUAUCUCUUGUACGGGCCAUCAGGUACUGGAAAAUCCAGCUUUAUAGCUGCCAUGGCCAAUUUUCUUGGCUACGAUGUGUAUGACAUCGAUCUUUCCAGAGUUUUAGGCGAUUCUGAUCUCAAAUUGCUCCUGCUACAAACCACAACCAAGUCCGUGAUUGUGGUAGAAGACCUCGAUCGGUUUCUGAUGGGCAAGUCAACGGCUGUAAGCUUAUCAGGUGUUUUAAACUUCAUGGAUGGGAUUUUAAAUUCUUGCUGUGCGGAGGAGAGAAUUAUGGUUUUUACAGUGAAUAGCAAAGAUCACAUCGACCCGGCUAUCCUUAGACCGGGUCGAAUUGACGUCCAUAUCCAUUUUCCGUUAUGCGAUUUCUCAGCAUUCAGGACAUUGGCGAAUAGCUACUUGGGAGUGAAGAAUCACAAGCUGUUUCCUCAAGUAGAGGAAAUUUUCCAAACCGGAGCGAGUCUGAGUCCGGCGGAGAUAGGUGAGCUCAUGAUUGCGAACCGGAAUUCGCCGAGUCGGGCAUUGAAAUCGGUUAUCACGGCCUUGCAAACAGAAGGUGAUUGUAGAGGGUCUGUGGACGUGGGGCGGCGGUUGCUCGAUGGCGGGUCAAGAAACUCCACGGAAGAUUCACCUGAUCACUCGGGUAUAUUUUCUAAAGAAAAUAUCAAUGCCAUCAAAGAUAUCAAGAAAUUAUACGGAUUAUUGAAGUUGAGAAGUAGCAGAAAAGCACCAUCGUUCGACUUGACACCAGGCCAAAGGGAUGUGUGAUGACUGAUGAUACGGGGUCGUAUCAUUUCGGAUAAAUUCACGUUUGGUUAGCACUUGGGGGCCGCACGAGGGGAAAAAAUUAUA